RNAcentral lists this ribosomal RNA (118 nucleotides) under Periophthalmus magnuspinnatus. The record is from RNAcentral. Lineage: Eukaryota; Metazoa; Chordata; Actinopteri; Gobiiformes; Gobiidae.
CAUUAUAGCCAUACCUCCUCGUCAGUGCUCAAUCUUCUCGUGUCUCUGAAGCUAAGGAGGGCUGAACCUGGUUAGCACUUGGAUGGGAGACCGCUGGCAAUACGAGGUGCCACAGUGG